Molecule: long non-coding RNA, 4333 nt
Filed under: Equus caballus (horse)
Lineage: Eukaryota; Metazoa; Chordata; Mammalia; Perissodactyla; Equidae
Description: lncRNA (ENSECAG00000050414.1)
Source: RNAcentral
UGGCACCCAGGGCCCUGGAGUAACCCGCUCAUAGGGAGAAACGGGGAAGGAGGGAGUGUUUGAUUUCUGUGCUAUCAUGGGGUCAAGAGACAAGCUUGACUUUGUGGUGGUUUGAUGUGCAAGGGAGGAAACUACGAUCAAGUGCACCGGCUUCGGGAGGAGAAAAUAGGAGGAGAGAGAAUGGACAUUUACCCAGCACUUCCUGUCUGCAACCCCUUGGUUAUGCCUGUAAACUCUGGAAAAUUCUAAAGGUGCAGGCUAUUACAAGAGUGGACGCCAUACAGAAUCCGUCUCAGAUGGACAUGGAGGGGGUCCCCUCUCUCCCUCUUCUCUUCCCCACAGUUCCCUCAGUCUUUUCACCCUGCUGUUGAAUCCCCAGGGCCCUGGAUCAAAGGCCUUUACUUCUAUCUUAUUUCUCAGUGGGAAGAGGAGGGGAUACCAGGCAGUUUUCCUCUUAAGCAUAACUCUGCUAUAUUACCACAUUACAUGACUACUACAUUCUAGAGAUGCUGCCUCCUGUCUCUAUAGUAACAAAGACCCUGACCCUAGAAGAUGGGCAGGAAGAGGAGGAAAGAGAGUAAGAAAAUCCUGCGCCAUCGCCAGCACCCGAGGCCUUUCACUCGGAUACUCUCAUCUUCCUCACAACCGUCACAUCAUGGGCUAAUUCCACUUCACACCGGAGGAAACCGAGGCUCAGAAAUGUUGAGUGAAUGCCUAACACAGGGAGCAAGUCUUGGAGCCAAGGUUGGUCCCACACCAAAGUCCAUGCCCUUUUCCCUGAGCCACGGCCCCUGCGCCGACACCAGAACACAUUGUUCUGCGUCUCACGAGGGACACUGAACUCUGGUUUAAUUCUGACGUUCUGGGUCGAUGAAGAAUUUGGUCAGCAAGUAGGGAGAGCGUUGCUGGAGGAGCUCAGAUAGGAGCCUGAGAGCAGAGAAGCUGACGUAUACGAGAGUCCCAGGGAAAACGGGGAGCCAGAUGCUGAGAAGCCAAGGCAGAGACACCAAGUCCGAAGUCUCGAGAUGCAGACUCAAAAUCAGGGUGUGGAGCCAAUGAUUCAGAAUGAGGCAAAACUGGGGUUUGGAGGGAGAGCAGGCCAGGGAUGGGCAAGGAGAGUUCGGGGUACCUGCCCAGCUGCUGUCGCCCUGGGGAGCUGUGGCUGCCCUUUGAGGGAUGGUGGGACCUCAGUGCAUGACUUGGGGUGAAGGGAGUCUGGUUUAAAGGCCUGAGGUAACAGUGACACCACCAGGGAGCCCCACGCUCAGCCAGAAGGGUCAGCCAUCCACCUUGGGCUUCAGUUCCCUCCCCUCCAAAGCCGCCCAGCAAGCCCUCAAGUCCAACUGAGAGUGACAGCCUGUCUUCAGGCUCAGGCCCGGGAAGGGGAGGAGCAGAGCGGAGGGUGACAGAAUGGGUAUGGCAAACACUCCAGAAGCUUCCUUCAGAGUGCAAACCCCAUGGACUCAGAGUCUGAGGCCCCGCCCGGAGUGUGGUGCUCAAAGGCAUCCACGGCAGGCCUGGGACAGUGAGCAAAGACGUCGGACAGUGGGAAAAUUUCCCCAAAGAACUCAGACUUGGUUUGGGGUCCAGCUCUCCCUGCCCUGAGACCCCUCUGCAGAAACUCCUAACUGAGUUCUGGGCCCUGGAGACCACUGUGGACAAAAACACCUGGGCAAAGCAAGGGGUCAAACUCCUUUAAUGCAGCUUCCUUAUCAGCAAAGAACUGAGCAGGCCUUGCCCAGAGCAGGAGGACGCAGGAGUCAAGAGUCGGACUGGAGCCGAAGAAAAUUUGAAGAGCCAAGUUUCCGAGCUCCAGUCCAGGCGGGGCUGUGCUCCUCCACCGCAGAAGCCCCGUUCAGCUCUCUGGCUUCCGCUGGCCUCGUGAAUCCCGGCAGAAGGCUGCUCUCCUGCGCUUUGGCGUGUGCACAGACUGGGUCCUGAAACUUGCGGGAGUUUGGUGACUGUGACCCCGUUGAGAAGGAGCCGCGUGGACCCAGAACCACUUAGAACAUCAGCUUUAGGACGCUGUCUUAGGUUGUGUUCCCCUGGAAGCAGAUCCCAAGAAGGAUUUGAGUACAGGCAAUUUGUAAAGGAAGUACUUUUAGGAGAAUGAGGAAGAAAGACAGAGCUAAGAGAGGCAGCUCAGGGUGAGCAAGUGAGUAGGUUACUGUGAGGAACUGAGGAUAAUCUCAGUGGGGACACUGGACAGUGCAGAAUACCCUUUGGGGCCACCCCACCUGAGGGACGAGGAAGCUGGAGUGUUUACCCAUUGGCUGAGGGCUGCUCCCAGGGGUGUUAGCCCCCAGUACUUCCAGCCUCCCCUUGGGCAAAGAGUUGCAGAGACUGCAGAGGGAAGUCAUCAGGGUCUAGAGGAGCGCAGAGAGGGGCAGGGCAUCAGUGGCAUCUGUUACACACCCUCGGCCCUGUCCUUGCGACUGCACCAGGCAGGGCAGAGAGAGACCAGAAGGCAGAGAGGGAGAGCAUCCAUCACUGACAGUGCAUUUUUCCAUGGCACAAGAGAUAAAAUCAUGGACUGGCAGCCAGAAUCCACACUUGGAAGUCUCUAGAAGAGGCUAAGAGCAGAAGGAGAAGCGUCCAACUCUCUGACCCAAAGUCAGAGACAAAUGCGGGGAAAGAGAAAAUACAGAAAGAGGUGUGGGGAAACAGGAAAAGCCCAGUCAAGGGCUGGAGACGGGAAGGAGGGUACAGUUCCACGGUCAGUUCAGCUAGUUCAGCCCAAAGGGACCCCUCUCACCCAGCCCUGGAGUCCGGACCGGUGGCUGAUGGUAGAGAGCUGGGUGUGGAGUACCAGUUUCUUCCAGCUGAAGAUGGAGAGGAUGCUUGUCAGUUUGACCCUGUGCUAAGUGGGAGACUGGUAGCUGGAAAACGGAAAGUGAACAUGUUGUCCAAGAUAGAGUCUGAGAAGUCACCAGUCAAUCAGAAACGAUCCGGGAUAGGGCGUCGGCCAAGGGGGAGAUUCUGAAGGUCUACCUUCUUGGGGACCCCGGCUCCUCAAACAGAAGCCCUCAGGCCUUGGUACUCGGUGACUCUUCCCAUGGAGAAUGCAGUAAAGACCCCUGAAGAGAGAGGGCUCACAGCAGGGCCAGCGUUCCUCCUGCCAUGCUUCACACACUGCGGAUUUUAGAAACACAGCUCUCAGACCACGUUCUGAAGGGCUCACUCCUCCACUUCAGAAAUCCCGCCAAGAAGAACCCCUCCCUGAGCACAGAAGAGCCCCCCACCACAGUCGGUAGAGGGCCACCUCCAGCCCCCUGACCCAGGAAGCCUGUGACAUCAUGGCCCCUCGGUUCCCUGACCCCUGUGUUCCUCUGCAUUGCUGUUGGAAUUUUGACGCUGGCCACUGGGCUUGGUUUGCUCUCUUUCAAUCUUGGAGCUCUGAUUAUGCUGUUGCCACUCAGAGUAGGGACAAGCCAGGGCACUAAGAGGCAGGGAGGUGAGUGAUGGCAGAAUUGACAGGGGCGGCAGGGUCAGCCCAGAAAACCCAUAGCUGAACAAAUGGGCCCACAGGGAUGGGGGCUUCUGUGAGCCAGCGCCCUCCACUCACAGUUGGUGGCUUCAAAGUGCAUCCCCAGGGCUCGAUGUCUCCCCCAACGACUCCCAAACCUGUAUCUCCAUUCUGUCCUUUGUCCUGAGCUCCAGAUCCAUUUAUCUAGAUGUUUUCUCCUGAGCGUCCUCCAAGACAGCAGACUCACGCACUCAAAUAGGUCCUCUUCAUGCUGCCCACUAGUCUCAUCCUCCCUUUGUGUUCCCAUCUCUUGAGUGGAGUCAGGCAAGUUAGAAACCUAAGUGUCCUCCUUGACUCUACCUUCUCCAUCCCUCAGAUCCAGUCAUUCAUCCAGCCCAGCCAGUUCCAUCUUCUAUGGAUAUCUCAAAUCUGUCUACGUCUUGCUAUCACUGCCACAAUCGUUCAAGUUCAAACUUCCUCUCAGCAUCUCACUUCUGGAUUAUUUUCAUACCCUCUGCUGGUCUUUUUGCACUGGUCUUGCCCGAACAUCUAGUCCAUCAGCCUGGAAUGUCCUCUUUCUUUUGUCCAUCUGGCAAACUCUCCCUCCUCAAAAGCCUUCCUCCUCUGUGAAGACUUUCAUGAUUUCUCCAUGUCCUAUGAGGCACAACCCCUUCCCCUGUGGGCCCCCAGGCCCUGGCACCCAUACCUCCAUCGGAGCCCUGGUCAUAUGGUACUGCCACUGAUCAUUGGCACACCUUUCUCCUCACAAGGCUCGUUGAGAGCAGGGGCCAUGUUUUCUCCAUCUCUGGUCCCCUGUGUCUGACUCAGCUCUUGGCAAACAGUGAGUGGUUCUUAAGAGUUUUGUUG